GCGUCUCGACAGGAUGGUGGCCACGUCGUUUCCCACGGGCUCCCUCUUGGCCUGCUGCUCCUGCUGCUCCUGCACCUUCUUCAGCUGGAUGCCUGUGGGAGAGCAAGGAGCGUGAAUCCAGCAUCUUCUCCUUCCACAGGUCAAAGAAGUACGACGGAUCGGUGUAGAAUUUAAGCGCUUCCUUGUGGUCGUCUCUACAGGAACAGGAAGCCAACAGGAUUUGGAACGCUGCUCUUCGAUACCACCUGCUGGUCCUGGACGGUAGAGCUCUUGAAGGCUUUCCUCAUGUUAAUAUCCUGCAGGGAAACUGGCAGCACAAAAAGAGGAAGAGAAUCGAAUGAACGAUGGGU
Molecule: long non-coding RNA, 350 nt
Organism: Cynoglossus semilaevis (tongue sole)
Lineage: Eukaryota; Metazoa; Chordata; Actinopteri; Pleuronectiformes; Cynoglossidae
Exons: 3
Source: RefSeq, a predicted model, not a curated record